Long non-coding RNA from Eucalyptus grandis, 418 nucleotides. RefSeq lists it as uncharacterized. NCBI's taxonomy places the organism in Eukaryota, Viridiplantae, Streptophyta, Magnoliopsida, Myrtales, Myrtaceae. The transcript has 2 exons. The record is from RefSeq and is a predicted model, not a curated record.
GGAAUGUUAGCGAUCACCGGUAGCUGGCUAAUUUUGCAUUCAAUGUUGGUAACGACAAUUAUAUCUUUGCUAAUAUGCUCAUGGUGGUACAUCUUCCUUUACUCUUACCCUAAGGCAUACACGGACAUGAUCGCUGAGAGAAGAAAGAGGGUAAGAAGUGGCAUCGAAGAUAUAUUUGGUUCGACAAAGGCUGACGGUAUAGACCAAACGUCCAACUGAUCAUUAGCUGAAGCAGGAAGAAGAAGGAUGAAGGGUGCAAAGUGCCGGUAUCUUGCGGACUGAUGAGGAAUUUUUGAAUGUCAAAAGCAUCUCAUGGAAUGAAAAGAUCUGUAUUUAACGUGAGCAGAAAACGUUCUUCAGUUUAUAGUCGGUAGUAUUGUAUAAUUGUGUUGCAAUGAAGAAAAUACAUUUUAUGUCU